RNAcentral lists this ribosomal RNA (253 nucleotides) under uncultured bacterium. RNAcentral's name for it is "partial 16S ribosomal RNA". It matches the Rfam family "Bacterial small subunit ribosomal RNA", at positions 524 to 776 of the family's 1533-position model. The record is from RNAcentral.
UACGGAGGGUGCAAGCGUUAUCCGGAUUCACUGGGUUUAAAGGGUGCGUAGGUGGGUUGGUAAGUCAGUGGUGAAAUCCCCGAGCUUAACUUGGGAACUGCCAUUGAUACUAUCAGUCUUGAAUAUUGUGGAGGUUAGCGGAAUAUGUCAUGUAGCGGUGAAAUGCUUAGAUAUGACAUAGAACACCAAUGGCGAAGGCAGCUGGCUACGCAUAUAUUGACACUGAGGCACGAAAGCGUGGGGAUCAAACAGG